CACAUGCUUUAUGUCAAUAUUACGUGUAUGCACACAACAAGUGCACUGCAUGCACACAUCCAUGGUAGCUCGCAUAACGCGCACAUGCAGUCUCCAAUAAGGAAAGUGCAUGUGCCCGCAGGAAAUGGAUUUUUCCUGUGGUAUAAAGACAUUUGACCCCUACAAGGAUUCCCACCAAUCCAAAGCCAAAAAGGAAAUGAAUUUUGGUCAUCCCAAGUUUUCUAAAGUGGUUUUGACUUAAGAUUCACCUAAGGAGGCCCAAGAUAACUAACUCAAAGAGAGCCUAAACAAAGUUCAAGGAUGUUUUGCCUUAAUUUAAAGAAGCUGGUC
RNAcentral lists this long non-coding RNA (330 nucleotides) under Carica papaya (papaya). Its description in RNAcentral is "long non-coding RNA (CPAP_LNC000860)". The record is from RNAcentral. Lineage: Eukaryota; Viridiplantae; Streptophyta; Magnoliopsida; Brassicales; Caricaceae.